RNAcentral lists this ribosomal RNA (429 nucleotides) under uncultured archaeon. Its description in RNAcentral is "bacterial SSU rRNA". It matches the Rfam family "Archaeal small subunit ribosomal RNA", at positions 474 to 903 of the family's 1478-position model. The record is from RNAcentral.
AACCAGCUCUUCAAGUGGUCGGGAUAAUUAUUGGGCUUAAAGUGUCCGUAGCCGGUUUAGUAAGUUCCUGGUAAAAUCGGGUAGCUUAACUAUCCGUAUGCUAGGAAUACUGCAAUACUAGAGGGCGGGAGAGGUCUGAGGUACUACAGGGGUAGGGGUGAAAUCUUAUAAUCCUUGUAGGACCACCAGUGGCGAAGGCGUCAGACUGGAACGCGCCUGACGGUGAGGGACGGAAGCCAGGGGAGCGAACCGGAUUAGAUACCCGGGUAGUCCUGGCUGUAAACGAUGCAUACUAGGUGAUGGCAUGGCCAUGAGCCGUGUCAGUGCCGUAGGGAAACCGUUAAGUGUGCCGCCUGGGAAGUACGGUCGCAAGGCUAAAACUUAAAGGAAUUGGCGGGGGAGCACCACAAGGGGUGAAGCCUGCGGUUC